RNAcentral lists this long non-coding RNA (245 nucleotides) under Pongo abelii (Sumatran orangutan). RNAcentral describes it as "lincRNA". The record is from RNAcentral. Lineage: Eukaryota; Metazoa; Chordata; Mammalia; Primates; Hominidae.
CAGACUUCCUAGGUAACUCUGAAACAGGUGGUCUGUAGACCACACUUUAAGAAUUAUCUUCAAGGAUUGGGCUAGUUUUAGUUUGUAGUGAUUUCUUGUGUAUCUUAAUGAAGGCCUAGACAAUAUAGUCUGGAUUGAUUGAUUGGAUAAACACAGAGGAACAAGAGAGUGGCAGAAUUGUACCAUGCAUGUAGCAGGCCAUGCUCUACAAGGGCCUCUGAGGAUGCAGCAGAAAGGUACCCCGG